GUGGGGAAUAUUGGGCAAUGGGCGAAAGCCUGACCCAGCAACGCCGCGUGAAGGAAGAAGGUUUUCGGAUCGUAAACUUCUAUCCUUGGUGAAGAUAAUGACGGUAGCCAAGAAGGAAGCCCCGGCUAACUACGUGCCAGCAGCCGCGGUAAUACGUAGGGGGCAAGCGUUGUCCGGAAUGAUUGGGCGUAAAGGGCGCGUAGGCGGCCUGGUAAGUCUGGAGUGAAAGUCCUGCUUUUAAGGUGGGAAUUGCUUUGGAUACUGUCGGGCUUGAGUGCAGGAGAGGUAAGCGGAAUUCCCGGUGUAGCGGUGAAAUGCGUAGAGAUCGGGAGGAACACCAGUGGCGAAGGCGGCUUACUGGACUGUAACUGACGCUGAGGCGCGAAAGUGUGGGGAGCAAACAGGAUUAGAUACCCCAGUAGUCC
RNAcentral lists this ribosomal RNA (425 nucleotides) under uncultured bacterium. RNAcentral's name for it is "partial 16S ribosomal RNA". It matches the Rfam family "Bacterial small subunit ribosomal RNA", at positions 354 to 796 of the family's 1533-position model. The record is from RNAcentral.